Molecule: ribosomal RNA, 484 nt
Filed under: uncultured bacterium
Lineage: Bacteria
Description: partial 16S ribosomal RNA
Rfam family: Bacterial small subunit ribosomal RNA
Source: RNAcentral
AUUGAACGCUGGCGGCAGGCCUAACACAUGCAAGUCGAGCGGAUGAAGGGAGCUUGCUCCUGGAUUCAGCGGCGGACGGGUGAGUAAUGCCUAGGAAUCUGCCCGGUAGUGGGGGAUAACGUCCGGAAACGGGCGCUAAUACCGCAUACGUCCUGAGGGAGAAAGUGGGGGAUCUUCGGACCUCACGCUAUCAGAUGAGCCUAGGUCGGAUUAGCUAGUUGGUGGGGUAAAGGCCUACCAAGGCGACGAUCCGUAACUGGUCUGAGAGGAUGAUCAGUCACACUGGAACUGAGACACGGUCCAGACUCCUACGGGAGGCAGCAGUGGGGAAUAUUGGACAAUGGGCGAAAGCCUGAUCCAGCCAUGCCGCGUGUGUGAAGAAGGUCUUCGGAUUGUAAAGCACUUUAAGUUGGGAGGAGGGGCAGUAAGCUAAUACCUUGCUGUUUUGACGUUACCAACAGAAUAAGCACCGGCUAACUUCGUG